RNAcentral lists this ribosomal RNA (253 nucleotides) under uncultured bacterium. RNAcentral's name for it is "partial 16S ribosomal RNA". It matches the Rfam family "Bacterial small subunit ribosomal RNA", at positions 524 to 776 of the family's 1533-position model. The record is from RNAcentral.
UACGGAGGGUGCAAGCGUUGUCCGGAAUUAUUGGGCGUAAAGAGCUCGUAGGCGGUCUGUCGCGUCUGCUGUGAAAUCCCGAGGCUCAACCUCGGGCUUGCAGUGGGUACGGGCAGGCUAGAGUGCGGUAGGGGAGAAUGGAACUCCUGGUGUAGCGGUGGAAUGCGCAGAUAUCAGGAAGAACACCGAUGGCGAAGGCAGUUCUCUGGGCCGUAACUGACGCUGAGGAGCGAAAGCGUGGGGAGCGAACAGG